RNAcentral lists this long non-coding RNA (515 nucleotides) under Notechis scutatus (mainland tiger snake). Its description in RNAcentral is "lncRNA (ENSNSUG00000006829.1)". Lineage: Eukaryota; Metazoa; Chordata; Lepidosauria; Squamata; Elapidae. The record is from RNAcentral.
UCCUCUUCUUUUCCUAGUCACUAACUGGAUAUGUCUGACCGGGGGAAAGGACUGGCUGAAGAGGAGGUGAAGAGAUAUAUCUAUCGCAACCUAGCCAUGUUCCAUCGCGUCCAAGUGAACCAAAUGAUCCACUUGCAAUGUCUCACCGAAACAGACCGGGGAAGGCUGGGUGAUGUACUUCAUAAAAGCUCUCCGCGAACAGCAGAUGGGCGACUUGGCUGACAAGCUGGAACGCAUCUAUCGCAGCAGACUCCUUCCCCCCAGGACCCCUCCAGCGGCUUCAGCACCCCCAGCUGCCAGUCGGCCUUCGGCUCCGCCUCUCCAGCCUGACGUGAGUGAGCUGAGUCGCCCUGAAAACUUUGUUGAGGAAGCCCUUCCGUGGUCUCCCUCGCGAUCGGCCGCUUCAUCUGCCAAUCUGCCCCCCCAGGAUAUGGGGGAUUACCGGACUCCCGUUCAAGAAAACAGCCAUCCGGUAGGUAUCCAUGUCUGUGUGUAUGAAGGCAUGCGUGUAUGCA